This 370-nucleotide ribosomal RNA is filed under the name uncultured Desulfobulbus sp. Its description in RNAcentral is "bacterial SSU rRNA". It matches the Rfam family "Bacterial small subunit ribosomal RNA", at positions 1013 to 1382 of the family's 1533-position model. Lineage: Bacteria; Pseudomonadati; Thermodesulfobacteriota; Desulfobulbia; Desulfobulbales; Desulfobulbaceae. The record is from RNAcentral.
GGUGCCUUCGGGAACGUCUGACACAGGUGCUGCAUGGCUGUCGUCAGCUCGUGUCGUGAGAUGUUGGGUUAAGUCCCGUAACGAGCGCAACCCUUGCCUUUAGUUGCCAGCAGUUCGGCUGGGCACUCUAAAGGGACUGCCGGUGUUAAACCGGAGGAAGGUGGGGAUGACGUCAAGUCCUCAUGGCCUUUAUGACCAGGGCUACACACGUACUACAAUGGCCGAUACAAAGGGCAGCGACACUGCGAGGUGAAGCCAAUCCCGUAAAAUCGGUCUCAGUCCGGAUUGGAGUCUGCAACUCGACUCCAUGAAGUUGGAAUCGCUAGUAAUCGUGGAUCAGCAUGCCACGGUGAAUACGUUCCCGGGCCUU